GACGGUGGUGUAAUGGAUAGCACAUCAGGCUCAUUAUCUGAAAAUGGAGGUUCGAAUCCUUCCCGUGUCUUUGCCGUGUC
RNAcentral lists this transfer RNA (80 nucleotides) under Balamuthia mandrillaris. Its description in RNAcentral is "tRNA-Met". The stretch from base 2 to 66 matches the Rfam family "tRNA". From Rfam's summary of the family: Transfer RNA (tRNA) molecules are approximately 80 nucleotides in length. Their secondary structure includes four short double-helical elements and three loops (D, anti-codon, and T loops). The record is from RNAcentral. Lineage: Eukaryota; Discosea; Longamoebia; Balamuthiidae.